CAGCCGCCGCGGGAACACGAAGGGUGCAAGCGUUACUCGGAAUUACUGGGCGUAAAGCGUGCGUAGGUGGUGGUUUAAGUCCGUUGUGAAAGCCCUGGGCUCAACCUGGGAAUUGCAGUGGAUACUGGGUCACUAGAGUGUGGUAGAGGAUAGUGGAAUUUCCGGUGUAGCAGUGAAAUGCGUAGAGAUCGGAAGGAACAUCUGUGGCGAAGGCGACUAUCUGGGCCAACACUGACACUGAGGCACGAAAGCGUGGGGAGCAAACAGGAUUAGAUACCCCGGUAGUCCCUGUCUCUUAUAC
RNAcentral lists this ribosomal RNA (301 nucleotides) under uncultured bacterium. RNAcentral describes it as "partial 16S ribosomal RNA". It matches the Rfam family "Bacterial small subunit ribosomal RNA", at positions 509 to 807 of the family's 1533-position model. The record is from RNAcentral.